UACGUAGGGGGCUAGCGUUGUCCGGAAUCAUUGGGCGUAAAGAGCGCGUAGGCGGCCAGAUAAGUCCGGUGUGAAAGUCACAGGCUCAACCUGUGAAUGCCGCUGGAAACUGUCUGGCUAGAGUCCGGGAGGGGCGAGUGGAAUUCCUGGUGUAGCGGUGAAAUGCGCAGAUAUCAGGAGGAACACCAAUGGCGAAGGCAGCUCGCUGGAACGGUACUGACGCUGAGGCGCGAAAGCCAGGGGAGCAAACGGG
This 253-nucleotide ribosomal RNA is filed under the name uncultured bacterium. Its description in RNAcentral is "partial 16S ribosomal RNA". It matches the Rfam family "Bacterial small subunit ribosomal RNA", at positions 524 to 776 of the family's 1533-position model. The record is from RNAcentral.